Long non-coding RNA from Ixodes scapularis (black-legged tick), 581 nucleotides. RefSeq lists it as uncharacterized. Lineage: Eukaryota; Metazoa; Arthropoda; Arachnida; Ixodida; Ixodidae. The transcript has 3 exons. The record is from RefSeq and is a predicted model, not a curated record.
AGCUUGAUUUGUUAGGUCCAUGCGGUGUAGCAAGGGCUGGCCACCACACCAGGGAGUAGCACCUUAGACCAUGCCACUCUGCAGGGCCAUACGGUGCAGAGAGGACCUGCCCAUGCCGGGGAUUGCCACCUUACGGGCCAUGAAAAAACAGCUGCAAGAUGACACAGGGCAAGAUGGUUCCCAAUGCGUGAAAUUUGAACACCAGCCUCCGAGAUGAAUCAGAAAAGUAGGGCCACUAGAAGCACCUGUAUGGAUAGAACACAUGUGUAGUAAUAAAACCAUAUUGCCGAUAUAAAUUGGCUCAGGGUCGUCCUUUGACUGGUUACAACAUAUCCAGGCAAGAGUAGAACGGAUUUAGGCAUGCCAUCUGCAUGUCCAAAAGUGGUCUGCAGAACAAAAUUGCACGCACGUCGGACAUCCGCAAUGGAAUCCUCAUUGCGGAUGUCCAACGAACGUGCAAUUUUGUUCGCUUGGGCGCUCUGUCGGAUGUCCGGGGGAUGUUCAUCGGACAUACACGGAUGUCCCACGGAUGUUCGGUGGAUCUGAAUUGGACCUCUAUCGGAUGUUCCCGGGAUAUCCAA